This 253-nucleotide ribosomal RNA is filed under the name uncultured bacterium. RNAcentral's name for it is "partial 16S ribosomal RNA". It matches the Rfam family "Bacterial small subunit ribosomal RNA", at positions 524 to 776 of the family's 1533-position model. The record is from RNAcentral.
AACGUAGGAGACAAACGUUAUCCGGAGUUACUGGGCGUAAAGGGCGUGUAGGUGGUUUUGUAAGUCUGGCGUGAAAUUUUUCGGCUUAACCGGGAAAGGUCGUCGGAUACUGCAGGACUAGAGGACGGUAGAGGCGUGUGGAAUUCCGGGUGUAGUGGUGAAAUGCGUAGAGAUCCGGAGGAACACCAGUGGCGAAGGCGACACGCUGGGCCGUACCUGACACUGAGGCGCGAAAGCCAGGGGAGCAAACGGG